RNAcentral lists this ribosomal RNA (440 nucleotides) under uncultured bacterium. Its description in RNAcentral is "partial 16S ribosomal RNA". It matches the Rfam family "Bacterial small subunit ribosomal RNA", at positions 338 to 795 of the family's 1533-position model. The record is from RNAcentral.
CCUACGGGAGACAGCAGUAGGGAAUAUUGCUCAAUGGGGGAAACUCUGAAGCAGCCACGCCGCGUGGAGGAUGACGGUUUUAGGAUUGUUAACUCCUUUUGUGAGAGAAGUUAAUGGCGGUAUCUCUCGAAUAUGCACCGUCUAACUCCGGGCCAGCAGCGGUGGUACUACGGCGGAUGCCAGCGUUACUCGGAAUCACCGGGCGUAAUGGGUGCGCAGGCGGGCUUGUAAGUCAGAUGUGAAAUCCUGUAGCUUAACUACAGAACUGCAUUUGAAACUAUGAGUCUAGAGUGUGGGAGAGGUAGGUGGAAUGCAUGGUGUAGGGGUAAAAUGCGUAGAUAUCAAGAAGAAUACUCAUUGCGAAGGCAGCCUACUGGAACAUUACUGACGCUCAUGCACGAAAGCGUGGGGAGCAAACAGGAUUAGAUACCCUUGUAGUC